Molecule: ribosomal RNA, 446 nt
Filed under: uncultured bacterium
Lineage: Bacteria
Description: partial 16S ribosomal RNA
Rfam family: Bacterial small subunit ribosomal RNA
Source: RNAcentral
CCUACGGGUGGCAGCAGUCGAGAAUCAUUCACAAUGGGGGAAACCCUGAUGGUGCGACGCAGCGUGGGGGAAUGAAGGUCUUCGGAUUGUAAACCUCUGUUAUGUGGGAGUAAAUUAAAAAGAUAGUACCAUAAGAGGAAGAGACGGCUAACACUGCGCCAGCAGCUGCGGUAAUACAGAGGUCUCAAGAGUUGUACGGAGUAACUGGGCGUAAAGCGUGCGUAGGCUGUUGCGUAAGUCAUGUGUGAAAGGCGCGGGCUCAACCCGCACAGGGCACAUGAUACUGGGGGACUGGAGUAAAGUAGAGGGGACCGGAAUUCUCGGUGUAGCAGUGAAAUGCGUAGAUAUCGAGAAGAACACUCAUGGCGAAGGCAGUUUCCUGGACAUUAACUGACACUGAGGCACGAAGGCCAGGGGAGCAAAAGGGAUUAGAUACCCUAGUAGUC